AAGUCGUAACAAGGUUUCCGUAGGUGAACCUGCGGAAGGAUCAUUAUUACGUAUCCACGUAUCAAACCAAAUCGUGAACUGUUUCCCGUCUGAUGAGGAUUUCUGCGAGUGUUUGAACAUUUAUUAAAUGCAUGGUGAGGACUCCUAGUCGCAAGACUGGUUUCUUCGAAAUGGCACUCGGUCCUGGUUGACUUGCCCUCUCGGGGGGUUUCAGCCAGCUCAUUAGAUGUGGUUGAAUUUCAAUCACUAUGCUAAAACUAUUAACCCCUUGUAAAACACUUGAACUAAAUUACAGAGACAAGACCCUUAACCGGGAAACUAUCUCUGGAUAAACCGAAACUUAAGAAACAACUCUUAACAACGGAUAUCUUGGUUCUC
This 378-nucleotide unclassified non-coding RNA is filed under the name fungal sp. RNAcentral describes it as "partial internal transcribed spacer region". The stretch from base 1 to 46 matches the Rfam family "Eukaryotic small subunit ribosomal RNA", at positions 1786 to 1831 of the family's 1831-position model. The record is from RNAcentral. Lineage: Eukaryota; Fungi.